UUCUGGACCCAUGUGAGGUUUCCUUCCAUGGAGGUAACUAGGCACUUUCUACACAAGCGAACAAGACCACACAACUGUAUGAUGCCUAUCAAUAUUACAACAUGUAACUGGGCACUUUCAACACAAGUGAACAAGACCACACAACAGUAUGAUGCCUAGCAAAAUGUAAAAUAUGUAACUGGGCACUUUCAACACAAGCAAACAAGACCACACAACUGUAUGAUGAUUAGCAAAAUGUAAAAUAUACACCUUUCACUUACUGCAAGUAUUUCACUUUGGCAUAAAUGUGAGUUACAUCUCUAGCAUCAAAAGAUUGGUAACACAGACCACUGAUAUCACUUCCAAGACUGUGUUUUCUUUGUCGUAUUAAUUUCUGUUUGUUGAAAAACACAGAUUUAGUUUUGUUGAUAUAUGCACGAAAGCUGACAGAGGAACAGGUCAUACUGGGAGCAGUAGAUCUGUGACUUGGAUGCAGCACAGUUACUGAUUUGAUGCCAUUAAGGCACAAAGCUUUGUAAUGAUUAAAAUGGUGAGUGAAUGUAAAUCCUGGAAGUGUUAUUUCUUUAUACUAAAACCUGCUACUUUGUUAUGUUUCAGAAAUUUCUUGAGCACCUCGACUUGAAAA
Schistocerca serialis cubense is the source of this 625-nucleotide long non-coding RNA. RefSeq lists it as uncharacterized. The transcript is spliced from 5 exons. The record is from RefSeq and is a predicted model, not a curated record. NCBI's taxonomy places the organism in Eukaryota, Metazoa, Arthropoda, Insecta, Orthoptera, Acrididae.